RNAcentral lists this ribosomal RNA (366 nucleotides) under Triticum aestivum (bread wheat). RNAcentral's name for it is "partial small subunit ribosomal RNA". Lineage: Eukaryota; Viridiplantae; Streptophyta; Magnoliopsida; Poales; Poaceae. The record is from RNAcentral.
AUGCUUCAGCCUACAUUUUUUUCAGCUCUUAAGUUAGAUAUGAUUGUAUUGAUUAAGGUCACAUUCUCAUUGCUGUUCUUUACCAGGGACAGGGGGUUAUUAUUAUUUGUCUUAUUCAACAAAGCCAACAAGAUGACUCUCUUUUUUAUGCUCUCUUACUAUUGUCACCAUCCUUAUAUUCCUGUCACAGUUUCCCCCAAAAAAAUAAUUUUGAUCACCAUUUGUGAAAUAUCUUCAUCGAAUGUGCUGGCAUAUCUCCCAGAAGGGAAAGAUCCAAGGACCUUUUUUAAUUUAUGUGGAGCAGAGCUGCACAACCCUCAUCACAAUAAGAUAUAUAAAUUCAUUUCAGCUCGAUGUGAUAGAUAG